CAAAUUUUUUAAAAAACAGGAGGAGCUCAAAAAAAAUGAGUGGGCAUCGGCAACAAAAAGUUGCCGUAAUUCCAGCAGGACUGUAAAGUCUGCCCAGCUAUCUGUUUUUAAACUGAAUCAGCUGGGAUAUUGCCCAUUGCUGUUCAUGGGUCGUCAGGGCCGCAAUGGGAGGAUUUCUGCUGACCUCAUCCAUCAUGUGGCACAGAUGGAUGGGGUGGUGAAAGACAUCCUCCAGAAGAUGGGGAAGUUAUACAAACACCUGCUGAAAAAGUUGUUGCAAGCACCGAUGGCAACUCCUCCUCCCCCUCAUGCUGCUCCCGGAAUGGACUGCGCCCCUACCCCGAUGGACACUCAGCCUGGACCAGGACCAGAAGAAUUCAUUCUUGAACUUCAGCCUGUUAAGCAUCCAGGCAUCUCUGCUCUAUCCUCCUCCUCCCUCUCCUCCCUGCCUCCUCCUCCUCCAUCUUCUCUCUC
Long non-coding RNA from Melanotaenia boesemani (Boeseman's rainbowfish), 474 nucleotides. RefSeq lists it as uncharacterized. The transcript has 3 exons. NCBI's taxonomy places the organism in Eukaryota, Metazoa, Chordata, Actinopteri, Atheriniformes, Melanotaeniidae. The record is from RefSeq and is a predicted model, not a curated record.